RNAcentral lists this transfer RNA (67 nucleotides) under Janus megamaculatus. Its description in RNAcentral is "tRNA-Pro". The record is from RNAcentral. Lineage: Eukaryota; Metazoa; Arthropoda; Insecta; Hymenoptera; Cephidae.
CAAUAUAUAGUUUAAUUAAAAUAUUAAUUUUGGAGAUUAAAGAUAUAAGGGUGUCUUAUUAUUUUGA